GACGAACGCUGGCGGCGUGCUUAACACAUGCAAGUCGAACGGAAAGGCCCUGCUUUUGUGGGGUGCUCGAGUGGCGAACGGGUGAGUAACACGUGAGUAACCUGCCCUUGACUUUGGGAUAACUUCAGGAAACUGGGGCUAAUACCGGAUAGGAGCUCCUGCUGCAUGGUGGGUUGGAAAGUUUCGGCGGUUGGGGAUGGACUCGCGGCUUAUCAGCUUGUUGGUGGGGUAGUGGCUUACCAAGGCUUUGACGGGUAGCCGGCCUGAGAGGGUGACCGGCCACAUUGGGACUGAGAUACGGCCCAGACUCCUACGGGAGGCAGCAGUGGGGAAUAUUGCACAAUGGGCGGAAGCCUGAUGCAGCAACGCCGCGUGCGGGAUGACGGCCUUCGGGUUGUAAACCGCUUUCGCCUGUGACGAAGCGUGAGUGACGGUAAUGGGUAAAGAAGCACCGGCUAACUACGUG
This 466-nucleotide ribosomal RNA is filed under the name uncultured bacterium. Its description in RNAcentral is "partial 16S ribosomal RNA". It matches the Rfam family "Bacterial small subunit ribosomal RNA", at positions 28 to 507 of the family's 1533-position model. The record is from RNAcentral.